Molecule: non-coding RNA, 971 nt
Filed under: Albula vulpes (bonefish)
Lineage: Eukaryota; Metazoa; Chordata; Actinopteri; Albuliformes; Albulidae
Description: 12S ribosomal RNA
Rfam family: Bacterial small subunit ribosomal RNA
Source: RNAcentral
CAAAGGCUUGGUCCUGACUUUAACAUCAAUUUUGGUCUAAUUUACACAUGCAAGUUUCCGCGUCCCCGUGAGAAUGCCCUCGGUCCCCCUUGGGGGGACGAGGAGCUGGCAUCAGGCACACAUAAUGUAGCCCAAGACGCCUUGCUUAGCCACGCCCCCAAGGGGGCCCGAAGGGGUUCCGCAGUGAUAGACAUUAAGCCAUGAGUGAAAACUUGACUUAGUUAGGAUCAAGAGAACCGGUAAAACUCGUGCCAGCCACCGCGGUUAUACGAGGGGUUCGAGUUGAUGUCUGUCGGCGUAAAGAGUGAUUACAGGAGCAUGUACAACUAAAGCCGAAGGCCCCUUGGGCUGUUUUACGCAUCUGGGGGUUAUUAAGCUCUUCAACGAAGGUAGCUUUAAAAGAUUCUAUCCUCGAAUUCACGAUAGCUAAGGCACAAACUGGGAUUAGAUACCCCACUAUGCUUAGCCCUAAACUUUGAUAAUAUGGUACAGAUAUUAUCCGCCAGGGGACUACAAGCGCUAGCUUAAAACCCAAAGGACUUGGCGACACCUUAGAUCCCCCUAGAGGAGCCCGUUCUAUAACCGAUGAUCCUCGUUAAACCUCACCACUCCUUGUAAAAUCCAGCCUAUAUACCGCCGUCGUCAGCUUACCUUGUGAAGGGAUAGUAGUAAGCUCAAUGGGUAUGGCCCAGAACGUCAGGUCGAGGUGUAGCUAAUGGGGUGGGAAGAAAUGGGCUACAUUUUCUGGUUCAGAAUAUUACGGAUAAUGCUUUGAAACAAGCAUUGUGAAGGUGGAUUUAGCAGUAAAGAGAGAAGCAGAGUGUCCUCUUGAAGCUGGCUCUAAGGCACGCACACACCGCCCGUCACUCUCCUCGAAUUACGUUAGUAAUGAGUAUAUAAGCUUUUGGGUAGCUAUAAGAGGAGGUAAGUCGUAACAAGGUAAGUGUACCGGAAGGUGCACUUGGAACUAU